Molecule: non-coding RNA, 45 nt
Filed under: Schistosoma mattheei
Lineage: Eukaryota; Metazoa; Platyhelminthes; Trematoda; Strigeidida; Schistosomatidae
Source: RNAcentral
AUCCGGCUGACGAGUCCCAAAUAAGAGAAAACGUGCGUCACGGAU